This 74-nucleotide transfer RNA is filed under the name Curvibacter putative symbiont of Hydra magnipapillata. It matches the Rfam family "tRNA". Rfam says of the family: Transfer RNA (tRNA) molecules are approximately 80 nucleotides in length. Their secondary structure includes four short double-helical elements and three loops (D, anti-codon, and T loops). Lineage: Bacteria; Pseudomonadati; Pseudomonadota; Betaproteobacteria; Burkholderiales; Comamonadaceae. The record is from RNAcentral.
UGAGUGGUAGUUCAGUUGGUUAGAAUACCGGCCUGUCACGCCGGGGGUCGCGGGUUCGAGUCCCGUCCACUCCG